UGCGGUAAUCACUCUGCGGUAGUCGCUGGGUUCUUUGCGGAUGAAGUCGCUCAUCUUGCGGCAGAGAAAUAUGGAAGCUCUCCUGAUGUCCGUCUGAUUUAGAGGUUUACAUAGCAGAAAUCAUAUUUAACUGUUCAGAAAAGACGUCGCGCUUCAGUUUGACGUGGCUGAAGUUCGUCUUCGGAACAGAUUCAGAAAUCCACGAAAGAAGCAGGUGAGAAGAGAUGUCCUACUACUCGUCCUCCCGUAGCUCGUCUCGGGCCACUGACUGUAAAGUAUAUGUCGGCGAUCUGGGCAAUGGUGCUGCCAAGGGGGAGCUGGAGCGAGCAUUCAGUUAUUAUGGCCCUCUGAGAAGCGUGUGGGUGGCCAGGAACCCUCCAGGGUUUGCCUUUGUGGAGUUUGAGGAUCCCAGAGAUGCAGAAGACGCUGUCAAAGGCAUGGAUGGAAAGGUCCUCUGUGGUUCCCGUGUUCGUGUGGAAAUGUCAACAGGCCUCUCCAGAAAGGGCCGCGGGCGCCCCAGCCGUCGCCAGUUUGACCCCAAUGAUCGGUGUUACCAGUGUGGGGACCGGGGCCACUAUGCCUAUGACUGCUACCGAUUUAGCAAGAGAGGCCGUCGCAGCAGGUCUCGAUCUCGAUCAAGAUCUCGCUCCAGAUCCAGGUCACGUGGUCGCCGCUACCGCUCUCGCUCUCGCUCCCGCAGCCGCAGCAGGAGCCGACGCCGAUCACCGUCCUAUUCCAGACGCAGGAGCAGGUCUGGAUCCCCAGCACGCUCCAAGUCCAGGACUCCAGCGAGAAGUCGUUCCAGGUCUCGUUCUCGGUCCGGCUCUGCUCCCAGAGGGCGCUCUGUGUCCAGAUCCCGCUCACGAUCUCAGUCUGCCAACCACAAGAGGAACAGCGUGUGGUGGGAGCUGAGCACUGCACUGACACCGCAGCUGAUCCCAGGCCCAGGGUCUGCCAGCUGGCGGUGUGUACGUCCUGCGGGAGGGUGACUAAGCGCUGACCUGAGAUCAGCCUUCGCCUGCAUCUGGUGUUAGACAGCGAGAAAGAGGUCGACCUACCGACCGAACCCUCCCCACAGUGAAUGGGUGACUGUCUGUUCCAACCGACGCACACGCUCAGACGAGAUCAGCCCGUGCACACAUACAGUUGCUCAACUAGAGUCACCCAGCCAGCCAGCCUUCAGAUGUACCAGAGGGCUGACCCACACAGAUCACAGUUCGGCAUUUUUAAAUCCAUUACCUACCUACCAGACCCCCCUACCUACCUACCAGAGUUCUUCGCCUCUGUCUUAGCUUCUGAAAGUGAGAGAGCUGACGAGAGAUCAGUCUUCAAGAGCCUCCCAGCGCAGUGUCUCUCCAAGUUGUAGUCAUCCGUCCUUCAGUCCUUUCAUCCUUCGCUUCUCUGUACUUGUUGUUUCUGCCACUGUCUUCAAAGUCGUUCCCGUUCAGCAACUCCAAACCGAAGCCCUACUCCAGCAGACGACUGAGCGAUGAAGACUGUUUGCCCCCCCCCCUCCCAACCACUGUCCCUAAGACAAGCCCUUAACCCCUGUCUGUUUUACACCCUGGCAGCAACUUUUUGUUGUUUUUGAAUUUGUCUGUCUUGUCCCAGUUUUGUGCAGUUUUUUUUUUUCUCCCCAGGGCUGUAGCCUUUGUGCAACCUCUGAGAUGUAGUCAGUACAGCAGAUAAAAACUCAUUUUCCACAAGAUACAGAUUGUUUAUAUGUUGCUGUUGCUGUGUAGGCCAAUUUUUCUUUCUUUCUUUCUUUUUUUUUCUUUUUUUUUUUUUUUUUCAUAAAAUGCAACACAUUUGAUGUAAUGUUGAAUAUUGCAGGUUACUUUUAGCAGUGAUAUGAGAAUCUCCCUGGAAUGGACUGGUGCAUUUUUGACAACAAGGAAGAUGAUUUAUUUCUUAAAAACUGAAAAUGGAAAAAAAAAAAAAAAAAAUUGUUUCCCUGCUGAGAAUUUGUAAAUGGGUGUUAUUUGAUACUUGGUUGAUGUAUUUAGUUCCUGAUUAUGAUGGCGCAGGGUAAUCCUUCCCAGCUUGCAUGAGGUUAAUAUAAUGUAACAUUCCUGUUUGUUUGUGGGUUUUGUUUUUGUUGCACUUCCUGAACAUAAACCAGAGCAGCAUCUCUGUGUGCAGGGGGGAUUUUCCUCCUGUGGUCUCUGGUUUGUCCCCAUGAUGAUUGAUUUUAAAACACAUGCAGAUGUUCGAGUGGAUUUCUGUUGGACUGCUUCAGCAGUUUUUGCUCUUCCUGGCUUAUAUGGUGACAGUGGCAGUUUUAUUUUCAUAAAUCUCUUCAACAUA
This is an RNA transcript of Archocentrus centrarchus (flier cichlid), 2307 nucleotides long. It is a transcript of the gene named serine and arginine rich splicing factor 7a, with no coding region annotated. The record is from RefSeq and is a predicted model, not a curated record. Lineage: Eukaryota; Metazoa; Chordata; Actinopteri; Cichliformes; Cichlidae. The transcript has 9 exons.